UUAUACAAUGAAGAGUUUGAUCCUGGCUCAGGAUGAACGCUAGCGGCAGGCUUAACACAUGCAAGUCGAGGGGCAGCGAGAUCGUUAGCAAUAACGAUUGUCGGCGACCGGCGCAAGGGUGCGUAACGCGUGAGCAACUUGCCCGUUUCAGGGGGAUAACCGGUGGAAACGCCGACUAAUACCCCAUAGCAUCACAUUUAGGCAUCUUUAUGUGAUUAAAGAGUUUCGGAAACGGAUAGGCUCGCGUGACAUUAGCUAGACGGCGGGGUAACGGCCCACCGUGGCUACGAUGUCUAGGGGUUCUGAGAGGAAGGUCCCCCACACUGGAACUGAGACACGGUCCAGACUCCUACGGGAGGCAGCAGUGAGGAAUAUUGGUCAAUGGUCGAAGGACUGAACCAGCCAUGCCGCGU
RNAcentral lists this ribosomal RNA (413 nucleotides) under Bacteroidales bacterium. RNAcentral describes it as "bacterial SSU rRNA". It matches the Rfam family "Bacterial small subunit ribosomal RNA", at positions 1 to 402 of the family's 1533-position model. Lineage: Bacteria; Pseudomonadati; Bacteroidota; Bacteroidia; Bacteroidales. The record is from RNAcentral.